GACGAACGCUGGCGGCGUGCUUAACACAUGCAAGUCGAACGGAAAGGCCCUGCUUUUGUGGGGUGCUCGAGUGGCGAACGGGUGAGUAACACGUGAGUAACCUGCCCUUGACUUUGGGAUAACUUCAGGAAACUGGGGCUAAUACCGGAUAGGAGCUCCUGCUGCAUGGUGGGGGUUGGAAAGUUUCGGCGGUUGGGGAUGGACUCGCGGCUUAUCAGCUUGUGGGUGGGGUAGUGGUUUACCAAGGCUUUGACGGGUAGCCGGCCGGAGAGGGGGACCGGCCCCAUUGGGACUGGGAUGCGGCCCAGACCCCUCGGGGGGGCAGCAGUGGGGAAUUUUGCACAAGGGGCGGAAGCCUGAUGCAGCAACGCCGCGUGCGGGAUGACGGCCUUCGGGUUGUAAACCGCUUUCGCCUGGGACGAAGCGGGGGUGACGGUAAGUGGUAAAGAAGCACCGGCUAACUACGU
This 467-nucleotide ribosomal RNA is filed under the name uncultured bacterium. RNAcentral's name for it is "partial 16S ribosomal RNA". It matches the Rfam family "Bacterial small subunit ribosomal RNA", at positions 28 to 506 of the family's 1533-position model. The record is from RNAcentral.